Molecule: small RNA, 685 nt
Filed under: Pongo abelii (Sumatran orangutan)
Lineage: Eukaryota; Metazoa; Chordata; Mammalia; Primates; Hominidae
Description: processed transcript
Source: RNAcentral
UGGACCCGGCCGAGGCGGUGCUGCAAGAGAAAGCACUCAAGUUUAUGGCUCAGGCUCUAUUGCACCAUCCAGCCUUGAGCAAGAUGCUUACUCAAAGAUUACUAAUUCCUCAGAGAGAGAAGACUGUAAUAAUGGCGAACCCCCUAGGAAGAUAAUACCAGAGAAGAAUUCACUUAGACAGACGUACAACAGCUGUGCCAGACUCUGCUUAAACCAAGAAACAGUAUGUUUAGCAAGCACUGCUAUGAAGACUGAGAAUUGUGUGGCCAAAACAAAACUUGCCAAUGGCACUUCCAGUAUGAUUGUGCCCAAGCAACGGAAACUCUCAGCAAGCUAUGAAAAGGAAAAGGAACUGUGUGUCAAAUACUUUGAGCAGUGGUCAGAGUCAGAUCAAGUGGAAUUUGUGGAACAUCUUAUAUCCCAAAUGUGUCAUUACCAACAUGGGCACAUAAACUCGUAUCUUAAACCUAUGUUGCAGAGAGAUUUCAUAACUGCUCUGCCAGCUCGGGGUUUGGAUCAUAUUGCUGAGAACAUUCUGUCAUACCUGGAUGCCAAAUCACUAUGUGCUGCUGAACUUGUGUGCAAGGAAUGGUACCGAGUGACCUCUGAUGGCAUGCUGUGGAGGAAGCUCAUCGAGAGAAUGGUCAGGACAGAUUCUCUGUGGAGAGGCCUGGCAGAACGAAGA